UGAGGAAUAUUGGUCAAUGGGCGGAAGCCUGAACCAGCCAAGUAGCGUGCAGGACGACGGCCCUAUGGGUUGUAAACUGCUUUUAUGCGGGGAUAAAGUGGGCCACGCGUGGCCUUUUGCAGGUACCGCAUGAAUAAGGACCGGCUAAUUCCGUGCCAGCAGCCGCGGUAAUACGGAAGGUCCGGGCGUUAUCCGGAUUUAUUGGGUUUAAAGGGAGCGUAGGCGGUCUGGUAAGUCAGCUGUGAAAACGCGGGGCUCAACUCCGCGCCUGCAGUUGAUACUGUCGGACUUGAGUGCACGCAGGGAUGCCGGAAUUCAUGGUGUAGCGGUGAAAUGCUUAGAUAUCAUGAAGAACUCCGAUCGCGAAGGCAGGUGUCCG
This 379-nucleotide ribosomal RNA is filed under the name uncultured Prevotella sp. RNAcentral's name for it is "bacterial SSU rRNA". It matches the Rfam family "Bacterial small subunit ribosomal RNA", at positions 355 to 731 of the family's 1533-position model. Lineage: Bacteria; Pseudomonadati; Bacteroidota; Bacteroidia; Bacteroidales; Prevotellaceae. The record is from RNAcentral.